CCUACGGGGGGCAGCAGUGGGGAAUAUUGGACAAUGGGGGCAACCCUGAACCAGCCAUGCCGCGUGUGUGAAGAAGGCCCUCGGGUUGUAAAGCACUUUCAGUGAGGAAGAACGCCUGGUGGUUAAUACCCAUCAGGAAAGACAUCACUCACAGAAGAAGCACCGGCUAACUCCGUGCCAGCAGCCGCGGUAAUACGGAGGGUGCGAGCGUUAAUCGGAAUUACUGGGCGUAAAGCGCGCGUAGGUGGCUUGAUAAGCCGGUUGUGAAAGCCCCGGGCUCAACCUGGGAACGGCAUCCGGAACUGUCAAGCUAGAGUGCAGGAGAGGAAGGUAGAAUUCCCGGUGUAGCGGUGAAAUGCGUAGAGAUCGGGAGGAAUACCAGUGGCGAAGGCGGCCUUCUGGACUGACACUGACACUGAGGUGCGAAAGCGUGGGUAGCAAACAGGAUUAGAUACCCUAGUAGUC
RNAcentral lists this ribosomal RNA (465 nucleotides) under Vreelandella stevensii. RNAcentral's name for it is "partial 16S ribosomal RNA". It matches the Rfam family "Bacterial small subunit ribosomal RNA", at positions 338 to 795 of the family's 1533-position model. The record is from RNAcentral. Lineage: Bacteria; Pseudomonadati; Pseudomonadota; Gammaproteobacteria; Oceanospirillales; Halomonadaceae.